GGGUUGUGAGGUUAAGCGACUAAGCGUACACGGUGGAUGCCCUGGCAGUCAGAGGCGAUGAAGGACGUGCUAAUCUGCGAUAAGCGUCGGUGAGGUGAUAUGAACCGUUAUAACCGGCGAUUUCCGAAUGGGGAAACCCAGUGUGUUUCGACACACUAUCAUUAACUGAAUCCAUAGGUUAAUGAGGCGAACCGGGGGAACUGAAACAUCUAAGUACCCCGAGGAAAAGAAAUCAACCGAGAUUCCCCCAGUAGCGGCGAGCGAACGGGGAGGAGCCCAGAGCCUGAAUCAGUGUGUGUGUUAGUGGAAGCGUCUGGAAAGGCGCGCGAUACAGGGUGACAGCCCCGUACACAAAAAUGCACAUGCUGUGAGCUCGAUGAGUAGGGCGGGACACGUGGUAUCCUGUCUGAAUAUGGGGGGACCAUCCUCCAAGGCUAAAUACUCCUGACUGACCGAUAGUGAACCAGUACCGUGAGGGAAAGGCGAAAAGAACCCCGGCGAGGGGAGUGAAAAAGAACCUGAAACCGUGUACGUACAAGCAGUGGGAGCCUCUUAAUGGGGUGACUGCGUACCUUUUGUAUAAUGGGUCAGCGACUUAUAUUCUGUAGCAAGGUUAACCGAAUAGGGGAGCCGAAGGGAAACCGAGUCUUAACUGGGCGUUAAGUUGCAGGGUAUAGACCCGAAACCCGGUGAUCUAGCCAUGGGCAGGUUGAAGGUUGGGUAACACUAACUGGAGGACCGAACCGACUAAUGUUGAAAAAUUAGCGGAUGACUUGUGGCUGGGGGUGAAAGGCCAAUCAAACCGGGAGAUAGCUGGUUCUCCCCGAAAGCUAUUUAGGUAGCGCCUCGUGAAUUCAUCUCCGGGGGUAGAGCACUGUUUCGGCAAGGGGGUCAUCCCGACUUACCAACCCGAUGCAAACUGCGAAUACCGGAGAAUGUUAUCACGGGAGACACACGGCGGGUGCUAACGUCCGUCGUGAAGAGGGAAACAACCCAGACCGCCAGCUAAGGUCCCAAAGUCAUGGUUAAGUGGGAAACGAUGUGGGAAGGCCCAGACAGCCAGGAUGUUGGCUUAGAAGCAGCCAUCAUUUAAAGAAAGCGUAAUAGCUCACUGGUCGAGUCGGCCUGCGCGGAAGAUGUAACGGGGCUAAACCAUGCACCGAAGCUGCGGCAGCGACACUAUGUGUUGUUGGGUAGGGGAGCGUUCUGUAAGCCUGUGAAGGUGGCCUGUGAGGGUUGCUGGAGGUAUCAGAAGUGCGAAUGCUGACAUAAGUAACGAUAAAGCGGGUGAAAAGCCCGCUCGCCGGAAGACCAAGGGUUCCUGUCCAACGUUAAUCGGGGCAGGGUGAGUCGACCCCUAAGGCGAGGCCGAAAGGCGUAGUCGAUGGGAAACAGGUUAAUAUUCCUGUACUUGGUGUUACUGCGAAGGGGGGACGGAGAAGGCUAUGUUGGCCGGGCGACGGUUGUCCCGGUUUAAGCGUGUAGGCUGGUUUUCCAGGCAAAUCCGGAAAACCAAGGCUGAGGCGUGAUGACGAGGCACUACGGUGCUGAAGUGACAAAUGCCCUGCUUCCAGGAAAAGCCUCUAAGCAUCAGGUAACAUCAAAUCGUACCCCAAACCGACACAGGUGGUCAGGUAGAGAAUACCAAGGCGCUUGAGAGAACUCGGGUGAAGGAACUAGGCAAAAUGGUGCCGUAACUUCGGGAGAAGGCACGCUGAUAUGUAGGUGAAGCGACUUGCUCGUGGAGCUGAAAUCAGUCGAAGAUACCAGCUGGCUGCAACUGUUUAUUAAAAACACAGCACUGUGCAAACACGAAAGUGGACGUAUACGGUGUGACGCCUGCCCGGUGCCGGAAGGUUAAUUGAUGGGGUUAGCGGUAACGCGAAGCUCUUGAUCGAAGCCCCGGUAAACGGCGGCCGUAACUAUAACGGUCCUAAGGUAGCGAAAUUCCUUGUCGGGUAAGUUCCGACCUGCACGAAUGGCGUAAUGAUGGUCAGGCUGUCUCCACCCGAGACUCAGUGAAAUUGAACUCGCUGUGAAGAUGCAGUGUACCCGCGGCAAGACGGAAAGACCCCGUGAACCUUUACUAUAGCUUGACACUGAACAUUGAGCCUUGAUGUGUAGGAUAGGUGGGAGGCUUUGAAGUGUGGACGCCAGUCUGCAUGGAGCCGACCUUGAAAUACCACCCUUUAAUGUUUGAUGUUCUAACGUUGGCCCCUAAUCGGGGUUGCGGACAGUGUCUGGUGGGUAGUUUGACUGGGGCGGUCUCCUCCUAAAGAGUAACGGAGGAGCACGAAGGUUGGCUAAUCCUGGUCGGACAUCAGGAGGUUAGUGCAAUGGCAUAAGCCAGCUUGACUGCGAGCGUGACGGCGCGAGCAGGUGCGAAAGCAGGUCAUAGUGAUCCGGUGGUUCUGAAUGGAAGGGCCAUCGCUCAACGGAUAAAAGGUACUCCGGGGAUAACAGGCUGAUACCGCCCAAGAGUUCAUAUCGACGGCGGUGUUUGGCACCUCGAUGUCGGCUCAUCACAUCCUGGGGCUGAAGUAGGUCCCAAGGGUAUGGCUGUUCGCCAUUUAAAGUGGUACGCGAGCUGGGUUUAGAACGUCGUGAGACAGUUCGGUCCCUAUCUGCCGUGGGCGCUGGAGAACUGAGGGGGGCUGCUCCUAGUACGAGAGGACCGGAGUGGACGUAUCACUGGUGUUCGGGUUGUCAUGCCAAUGGCACUGCCCGGUAGCUAAAUGCGGAAGAGAUAAGUGCUGAAAGCAUCUAAGCACGAAACUUGCCCCGAGAUGAGUUCUCCCUGAGACUUAGAGUCUCCUGAAGGAACGUUGAAGACGACGACGUUGAUAGGCCGGGUGUGUAAGCGCAGCGAUGCGUUGAGCUAACCGGUACUAAUGAACCGUGAGGCUUAACCUUACAACGCCGAAG
RNAcentral lists this ribosomal RNA (2925 nucleotides) under Escherichia coli. RNAcentral's name for it is "23S ribosomal RNA". It matches the Rfam family "Bacterial large subunit ribosomal RNA". Lineage: Bacteria; Pseudomonadati; Pseudomonadota; Gammaproteobacteria; Enterobacterales; Enterobacteriaceae. The record is from RNAcentral.